UACGAGGGGGGCAAGCGUUGUUCGGAAUUAUUGGGCGUAAAGGGUGCGUAGGCGGUUUGACAAGUCUUAUGUGAAAUCUUCGGGCUCAACCCGAAGUCUGCAUGGGAAACUGUCGGGCUUGAGUAUGGGAGAGGUGAGUGGAAUUUCCGGUGUAGCGGUGAAAUGCGUAGAUAUCGGAAGGAACACCUGUGGCGAAAGCGGCUCACUGGACCAUAACUGACGCUGAGGCACGAAAGCUAGGGGAGCAAACAG
This 252-nucleotide ribosomal RNA is filed under the name uncultured bacterium. RNAcentral's name for it is "partial 16S ribosomal RNA". It matches the Rfam family "Bacterial small subunit ribosomal RNA", at positions 524 to 775 of the family's 1533-position model. The record is from RNAcentral.